AACCUCUCUCCCCUUCACAAAAGUCCAACUCCUCCCCUUCAUUCCCUCCACUCGCUUCCCCUUUCAUUCUCUCUCUCUCCUCCCUCCCGUAUACUCUUCUCUUUCAUGCAGUAGCGGCUCCGUCCUCCGGUCACCAACGAGCGUCAAACUAUACCUUCAGAAUCCUCUUCCCUUCCUCUUUCCAACCCUCGAGUUAGUUUCUCCAAAUUUGUAGCCGAAUUUUCUCAAUUUCAGAUCUAAGAAACGGUGACCAUACGUAUUCCGGCCAAUUUCCGGCGAAGUCUGCCUGAAUUGGACCUCAACCAAGAGAUUGGGGACAAAUAAGGUGAAUCAAGGUUGUUUCCAACCUGGGCCGAUAAGAAUGGAAGCCUUGGAAGGUUGUGGGUGAAACUAAGGUGAAGAGGGUUCUUCUAAAAAAAUUAAGAUCAAAGAAGGAAGUUCAAUUUAUCAAGGAUCAAGGUUUGGACUGCUAGACAGCACGUUGCCUUCGGUUUGAGUUUGAACUCCCAUCGCAGCAUCAUCAUCAUCAUCAUCUGCUCUUGCUGCUGCUGCCUUUGACUGGUAUUUCCCUAUUUGCUGCCCAAACAACAGUCCUUUCAGAUACUACUUGCUUGGAGUACCAUAUACCUAUAUAGUAGUUUGAAAGCUGACCUGGUUUGAAGAAACCUAGCUCAAACAACCCACCUGGAGAGACAAUGGUUUGAUCGCCAAAGAGAGAUUGGCAUGACAUGAUUAAGCUCUUUGGAAACAGAGUGUUCAAACACUUCUCAAAGUUUGAAUCCCAACAUUUGUUCAAAAUUGUAUUAAAGAUUAGUUAUGUAAAUUUGUAGUACAUUCUUAUAUCAAAGAUCUUACAAUUUGUUUCCUCACCAAAAAUAAAAAAAUAAAAUAAAAGGAAAUAUUCCUAUUCAAA
Pyrus x bretschneideri (Chinese white pear) is the source of this 913-nucleotide long non-coding RNA. RefSeq lists it as uncharacterized. NCBI's taxonomy places the organism in Eukaryota, Viridiplantae, Streptophyta, Magnoliopsida, Rosales, Rosaceae. The transcript is spliced from 4 exons. The record is from RefSeq and is a predicted model, not a curated record.